Molecule: microRNA, 19 nt
Filed under: Corchorus capsularis
Lineage: Eukaryota; Viridiplantae; Streptophyta; Magnoliopsida; Malvales; Malvaceae
Description: sRNA CCACVL1_22301
Source: RNAcentral
ACAAACCUAACACCAACAC